GUAGCCGGCCUGAGAGGGCGACCGGCCACACUGGGACUGAGACACGGCCCAGACUCCUACGGGAGGCAGCAGUGGGGAAUAUUGCGCAAUGGGCGAAAGCCUGACGCAGCAACGCCGCGUGAGGGAUGACGGCCUUCGGGUUGUAAACCUCUUUCAGCAGGGACGAAGCGAAAGUGACUGUACCUGCAGAAGAAGCGCCGGCUAACUACGUGCCAGCAGCCGCGGUAAUACGUAGGGCGCAAGCGUUGUCCGGAUUUAUUGGGCGUAAAGAGUUCGUAGGCGGUCUGUCGCGUCGGAAGUGAAAACCCGGAGCUCAACUCCGGGCCUGCUUUCGAUACGGGCAGACUUGAGUGUUGCAGGGGAGACUG
This 368-nucleotide ribosomal RNA is filed under the name uncultured bacterium. Its description in RNAcentral is "bacterial SSU rRNA". It matches the Rfam family "Bacterial small subunit ribosomal RNA", at positions 283 to 663 of the family's 1533-position model. The record is from RNAcentral.